RNAcentral lists this unclassified non-coding RNA (351 nucleotides) under uncultured fungus. Its description in RNAcentral is "sequence contains ITS1". The stretch from base 1 to 103 matches the Rfam family "5.8S ribosomal RNA", at positions 50 to 154 of the family's 154-position model. Lineage: Eukaryota; Fungi. The record is from RNAcentral.
CAAACGCGAAACGUGUUAUGACUUGCACACUUUGCGAAUCACCAAUCUUUGAACGCACCUUGCACCCCGGAGCAUGCUCCCGGGUACGUCUGUCUGAGCGUGAAAGGUAGAAGUUGGGGUAUUGGGUGGAGAGAGGCAGCGAUGCUUUUCACCAGCCACCGCACCAGAGAUGAGGCACACGAGCUUGGGCUUGUUGCUUUUAAAAGAAAGGAGAGAGAACGAUUCGUUUGGGAUAACAUCCAACAAACAAACUCGCACUCCAUUUCCAUCGCAGUGGGAGGGAGUUAUAUCCCCCCCACCCACCACACACAUACACACCUCAGAUCAGACGAGAUUACCCGCUGAACUUAA